This 51-nucleotide transfer RNA is filed under the name Pseudotaxiphyllum laetevirens. RNAcentral's name for it is "partial tRNA-Phe". It matches the Rfam family "tRNA", at positions 1 to 48 of the family's 71-position model. From Rfam's summary of the family: Transfer RNA (tRNA) molecules are approximately 80 nucleotides in length. Lineage: Eukaryota; Viridiplantae; Streptophyta; Bryopsida; Hypnales; Plagiotheciaceae. The record is from RNAcentral.
AGCCGGAAUAGCUCAGUUGGUAGAGCAGAGGACUGAAAAUCCUCGUGUCAC